RNAcentral lists this ribosomal RNA (434 nucleotides) under uncultured bacterium. RNAcentral describes it as "partial 16S ribosomal RNA". It matches the Rfam family "Bacterial small subunit ribosomal RNA", at positions 29 to 507 of the family's 1533-position model. The record is from RNAcentral.
AGCGAACGCUGGCGGCAGGCCUAACACAUGCAAGUCGAACGAACCUUUCGGGGUUAGUGGCGGACGGGUGAGUAACACGUGGGAACGUGCCUUUAGGUUCGGUAUAACUCAGGGAAACUUGUGCUAAUACCGAAUGUGCCCUUCGGGGGAAAGAUUAAUCGCCUUUAGAGCGGCCCGCGUCUGAUUAGCUAGUUGGUUGAGGUAAUGGCUCACCAAGGCGACGAUCAGUAGCUGGUCUGAGAGGAUGAUCAGCCACAUUGGGGCUGAGACACGGCCCAAACUCCUACGGGAGGCAGCAGUGGGGAAUCUAGCGCAAUGGGCGAAAGCCUGACGCAGCCAUGCCGCGUAAAUGAUGAAGGUCGUAGGAUUGUAAAAUUCUUUCACCGGGGGCGAUAAUGACGGUACCCGGAGAAGAAGCCCCGGCUAACUUCGUG